AAAUACCCCCUUAUAAGUUUACACUUUUUUAUUUUAAUAUUCUAUAAUUUAAAGUGUAUCAAAUUAGUCUCUAUGAUUUCGCACUUUCUCACUUUAGUACCAUGUGGUUUAAAGUGUAUCAAGUUAGUACUCUAUGAUUUUAUUUUUCUCUUUUUAUUAUCUAUUUCACUAAUUUUUUUCGUUAAAUCAAUAACAAAGUUAAAAUUAAAAGGUAUUAAAGUAAAUAUUUGAUAAAUCUAGGUAAAAUAUCUGAAGUUUUUUAUAUACAAUUUAACGAAAUAUUAACGGAGGAAAAAAAUCAAUGACAAAAUUAAAGCUAAAGAGUACUAAAGUAAAUAUUCGAUAAACCUAGGUAGGAUAUCCGAAGGUUUUUGUAUAUAAUUUAACGAAAUAUUAAUAGAGGAGCCCACGAAAAGAGAAAAAGAAAAUCAGGGUAUUAAAUUAAUACAUUUUAAACCACAGAAUAUUAAAGUGAGAAAGUACAAAACCACAGGAUACUAAAUUGAUGCACUUUAAACUAUAUGAUACUAAAGUGAAAAAGUACGAAAUCACAGGAAUUAUAUUUGAAUUUUUCC
Molecule: long non-coding RNA, 575 nt
Filed under: Ananas comosus (pineapple)
Lineage: Eukaryota; Viridiplantae; Streptophyta; Magnoliopsida; Poales; Bromeliaceae
Description: long non-coding RNA (ACOM_LNC016298)
Source: RNAcentral